AUUGAACGCUGGCGGCAGGCCUAACACAUGCAAGUCGAACGGUAGCACAGAGGAGCUUGCUCCUUGGGUGACGAGUGGCGGACGGGUGAGUAAUGUCUGGGAAACUGCCCGAUGGAGGGGGAUAACUACUGGAAACGGUAGCUAAUACCGCAUAACGUCGCAAGACCAAAGAGGGGGACCUUCGGGCCUCUUGCCAUCGGAUGUGCCCAGAUGGGAUUAGCUAGUAGGUGAGGUAACGGCUCACCUAGGCGACGAUCCCUAGCUGGUCUGAGAGGAUGACCAGCCACACUGGAACUGAGACACGGUCCAGACUCCUACGGGAGGCAGCAGUGGGGAAUAUUGCACAAUGGGCGCAAGCCUGAUGCAGCCAUGCCGCGUGUAUGAAGAAGGCCUUCGGGUUGUAAAGUACUUUCAGCGAGGAGGAAGGGGAUGUGGUUAAUAACCGCAUUCAUUGACGUUACUCGCAGAAGAAGCACCGGCUAACUCCGUGCCAGCAGCCACGGUAAUACGGAGGGUGCAAGCGUUAAUCGGAAUUACUGGGCGUAAAGCGCACGCAGGCGGUCUGUCAAGUCGGAUGUGAAAUCCCCGGGCUCAACCUGGGAACUGCAUCCGAAACUGGCAGGCUAGAGUCUUGUAGAGGGGGGUAGAAUUCCAGGUGUAGCGGUGAAAUGCGUAGAGAUCUGGAGGAAUACCGGUGGCGAAGGCGGCCCCCUGGACAAAGACUGACGCUCAGGUGCGAAAGCGUGGGGAGCAAACAGG
Molecule: ribosomal RNA, 759 nt
Filed under: uncultured Citrobacter sp.
Lineage: Bacteria; Pseudomonadati; Pseudomonadota; Gammaproteobacteria; Enterobacterales; Enterobacteriaceae
Description: bacterial SSU rRNA
Rfam family: Bacterial small subunit ribosomal RNA
Source: RNAcentral